ACGAUUUCCUGUGUGUGACAUAUUGUUUCUAGUUGACCUGAAAAAGCUGAUCACAACGAACUAGGAUGACGAGGAAAGUUUUUCUUAAACAACAUGAAAGUAACCAUAAAAAAGGUGAAACACUCGGUUCUCAAGACGUUUAACUUUCCUUAUUCAAAUUAGUAAUUAAAGAUAAUGUUGCAAGUAUAAAUUCGUCAAGCCUCACCAUGCUUCCUUGGGGUGUUGCUGAUGUACUUAAUAAUUGUCUAUCAGCUCCUCUCUUGUUUAAAUGUAACAAGACAGAAGCAAAACCUUGACUGGCAUUUAGUUAUUCUCUUUUCUUGUGUCUUGGAAAUCAGCAGUACUUUUACCAUAGACGUCGGGCACUAAAUUUGUCCAAAAGCCCAGCCCCCUCCCUCACCCUUGCUGCAAGGUAACACAGCCCGUAUUCUUGAGCGUAACGGCACCUUUGCCGCCCCCUCCCUCACCCUUGCUGCAAGGUAACACAGCCCGUAUUCUUGAGCGUAUCGGCACCAUCGCACGCCUGUUUGAAGAGCCUCUCGUAGAAGUAGUUGGGAUAUUCAUGGACUGUUUUGUGAUCCUAGUGAUAGAUUCAUCCGACUUCUGAAUUUUGAAUCACCCAUGAGAACCCGGUUAAUCUUCUCUGCGGCCUUGGAAAAUGGUCGUAAUGGGAGCCCGAUACAUUUCAGAUUAUGGACCUAUAUGGACGCCUCAACCCAACCUCCUUUCUUCCAUCUAGUCAGCUCCCAUCGUUAUGGCAGAGGCUGCGGUGUUUCUGGGUUAUGUUAGUGCACAUAGAGAGACUAUAGUGCUGACGAAUCACUCCUAAUACCUUCUACACGUUGUCUCC
Eriocheir sinensis (Chinese mitten crab) is the source of this 850-nucleotide long non-coding RNA. RefSeq lists it as uncharacterized. The transcript is spliced from 3 exons. NCBI's taxonomy places the organism in Eukaryota, Metazoa, Arthropoda, Malacostraca, Decapoda, Varunidae. The record is from RefSeq and is a predicted model, not a curated record.